UACGUAGGGGGCUAGCGUUGUCCGGAUUUAUUGGGCGUAAAGAGCGUGUAGGCGGCCAUGUAGGUCUGGUGUGAAAACUCGAGGCUUAACCUCGAGAUGUCAUCGGAAACCAUCUGGCUAGAGUCCGGAAGAGGAGAGUGGAAUUCCUGGUGUAGCGGUGAAAUGCGCAGAUAUCAGGAAGAACACCAAUGGCGAAAGCAGCUCUCUGGGACGGUACUGACGCUGAGACGCGAAAGCGUGGGGAGCGAACAGG
This 253-nucleotide ribosomal RNA is filed under the name uncultured bacterium. RNAcentral describes it as "partial 16S ribosomal RNA". It matches the Rfam family "Bacterial small subunit ribosomal RNA", at positions 524 to 776 of the family's 1533-position model. The record is from RNAcentral.